AUGCCACUCUAGUUUUUAGGUUAACUUAUAACCUAUUCGUUCUUACUUCGACUAGCGUACACGUAUGAUUACAUUUAGGCAAGUAUUGGAAUUGAACUUGAUUGAUAAGGUGUAGAUGCUCGUGGGGGGCCUGGCAGCAUCGCAUUAAAGUCAAACACUUCAAGUGCAAUUUGUGCAGUUAUUAACUUGCACUGGAUGGUUAGAAAGUGCACUAACUACGUUAGACUCUGCAGCACGACUGGUGGAAGGUUGCGGUUCGAGAUUGGUUGACUUGAUUCUGCAAUGUAGCUCUCCGCAAUGCUUGUCGAUUGCCACCCUCCAUGACGCUUCAGGGCACUGAUGUCUGCACCUGCAUUCAUAAGCAAGGUAGCAGACGUUCUUCGCAAACAAUGCCCGGUAUAAAGCUUCAGAUCCGGCAAUCCCAAAUAAGUGGCAACUUCUUGCGCUGUUGAUGUGAGCUUAUGUAUACCGACAACUUGCCUGUGACAUUUGCCAUUUUGGUAUUUAAUGAAGAAACGAUUUGUGUUCAUAUCUGCGGGACGUAAUGAUGCAUAUUUUCUAUAGAAAUUUAAAUAUUGUUCCCCGGUAAUUGUGAAUGAGCGCGGUUUUUUUGUUUUAGUAUUGGGUACUUUUACUAAUAAAGCACCCUCUAAGUCGGUGAUGUCUGACGUCUUCAUUUGUGACAAUUCAUCACGGCGUAAUGCACCUGCGACACCAAAUAUGAGACAAACCUAAAAAUAUUUCAAUUUGAGAACUACAAAGGGAACUUUGUGAAUUGUGAUUUUACCUUAGUCAUUAAAUAUUUGAAAUCAGGUGCUUCAGUUAAAAAUGACUGCACUUGUUCCAUCGUCAACGUUUUUGAUUUUUUCGGCUGAUAACCGUGUGACUUGUUUUUCAGGUAAGGCACAAGUUUGGGAUAUUUGCGGAUAUCGACACCAUGCUUGACAUUUAACGUUGCUUUCAACAUGGAGUAAUGACUCCAAAGAGUUGACGGCUUGAUUUUAGUCGCUAAAUCGGCAAGAUACGCAAUAAUUACAUUUUCCGAAAAUGAAUUAGCUUUAUUGUUAUUGCGCCAUGUCAUAAAGCGUGUAUAUGAAUUUUCAUACACCUCUCGCGACUUUGUAGGGAGCAAAUCUAAAGUCGCAUGUUCUGCCGUUUCCAUAAUUUCUGGCGGAGUGCAAUCCAUGUCGCAAUCAGUUUCAGUCAUUUCUA
Long non-coding RNA from Photinus pyralis (common eastern firefly), 1212 nucleotides. RefSeq lists it as uncharacterized. Lineage: Eukaryota; Metazoa; Arthropoda; Insecta; Coleoptera; Lampyridae. The transcript has 3 exons. The record is from RefSeq and is a predicted model, not a curated record.